RNAcentral lists this ribosomal RNA (250 nucleotides) under uncultured bacterium. RNAcentral describes it as "partial 16S ribosomal RNA". It matches the Rfam family "Bacterial small subunit ribosomal RNA", at positions 524 to 773 of the family's 1533-position model. The record is from RNAcentral.
UACGUAGGGGGCAAGCGUUGUCCGGAAUCAUUGGGCGUAAAGCGCGUGUAGGCGGCUUGGUAAGUCCGGUGUGAAACCCUGGGGCUCAACCCCAGGCCUGCACCGGAUACUGCCUCGCUCGAGUUCGGGAGGGGAGAGCGGAAUUCCUAGUGUAGCGGUGAAAUGCGCAGAUAUUAGGAAGAACACCGGUGGCGAAGGCGGCUCUCUGGAACGAUACUGACGCUGAGACGCGAAAGCGUGGGUAGCGAAC